This 372-nucleotide unclassified non-coding RNA is filed under the name fungal sp. RNAcentral's name for it is "partial internal transcribed spacer region". The stretch from base 1 to 46 matches the Rfam family "Eukaryotic small subunit ribosomal RNA", at positions 1786 to 1831 of the family's 1831-position model. Lineage: Eukaryota; Fungi. The record is from RNAcentral.
AAGUCGUAACAAGGUUUCCGUAGGUGAACCUGCGGAAGGAUCAUUAACACGUGCAAACGUAUUAAUAUCAACCUUUCUAACAACCUGUGAAUGUCACCCCUACCUAUUUCAAUAAGGUCGUUCUAUUUCAUAUGUAGUAGGAUAGAUUGCUGUCACCGGCGAUCUAUGCAAUGGAAUAGAUACUGAGGUUUCGAACCUAAGAUCUGUUGUUAUAGGCUUUCUUUUUUUCCCCUACUACAAAAAACUAAACCAACCAAUUUCACCCUUUUAACCCUAUUUUGACUGAUGUAAGUUGUUUGUAUCGAAAGAUACGGGAACAACACCAUUUAUCUAAACUAAGCACAACUCUUAGCAAUGGAUAUCUUGGUUCUC